This 583-nucleotide long non-coding RNA is filed under the name Mytilus galloprovincialis (Mediterranean mussel). Lineage: Eukaryota; Metazoa; Mollusca; Bivalvia; Mytilida; Mytilidae. The record is from RNAcentral.
UAGGAAACAAGGUGUAUGCGAGCUUUUAGCGAGCUACUACACCUGUUUCGAGCCGAGUACAAAUACAGCUGAUAUUUAAAGACACUAAACAGUUAUUGUCUUUAUCCUGCAAUUAGUUCUGUAUAUUGUUUGUGUUUUGAAAGACAUAAAAAUUAACAUAUUUAGAAUUUAUUUUCGAUUUGUAAUCCCUUGAGGCCCGCGUAGUAAUAUCAAAAUCACACAUUACGCUGAAGACGGGUUCGCAAAAAAGAAUCUCGAAUGGUCAACAAUAAUUCAUCGCUCAAGGUGAAUAAUUAUCUAUUUUAACAUAACAACUAAUUUCAACAGUAAAAACAAAUAAUAAAACAUUGUCAAAUUUGAAACAGAAGUGUACGAGUUGUCCUACGCUUCAGACUUGACAUUCACUAAACAUGCAUGCUGAAAUUGACAUGGUUAAUUUUGUAACACAAUCAUACACAUUCAAGUUUUGAAAUCGACAAUUGUCAUCGUCAUUGGAAUGCAACUGGAAUACACAUUCUGAGGUCACACAGGUUCAAACAAUACUCAGUCCGGCAGUGGGCGGAGCUUUAUAGCGAUAUCUGUA